Molecule: ribosomal RNA, 2669 nt
Filed under: human gut metagenome
Description: eukaryotic LSU rRNA
Rfam family: Eukaryotic large subunit ribosomal RNA
Source: RNAcentral
UCGCAUUUCACUGGGCCAGCAUCAGUUUUGGUGGCAGGAUAAAUCCAUAGGAAUGUAGCUUGCCUCGGUAAGUAUUAUAGCCUGUGGGAAUACUGCCAGCUGGGACUGAGGACUGCGACGUAAGUCAAGGAUGCUGGCAUAAUGGUUAUAUGCCGCCCGUCUUGAAACACGGACCAAGGAGUCUAUCCUGUAUGCAAGUUGUAUGGUGUAAAACCAAUAAGCGUAAUGAAAGUAAGAGGUGUGAAAGUUGUAAAAGUGUCAACACCUGCCGAUCUAAAUUCUUUGAUGAAAGAUUCGAGUAUGAGCAUAUAGGGUGGGACCCGAAAGAUGGUGAACUAUGCCUGAAUAGGACGAAGCCAGGGGAAACUCUGGUGGAGGUUCGAGUGGAUUCUAACGUGCAAAUUGAUCUUUAAAUUUGGGUAUAGGGGCGAAAGACUAAUCGAACCAUCUAGUAGCUGGUUCAUUCCGAAAUUUCCCUCAGGAUAGCUGCAACUUAUGAAAUAGUUUUAUGAGGUAAAGCGAAUGAUUAGAGGUUUCUGGGAUGGAAUAUCCUGGACCUAUUCUCAAACUUUCAAUGGGUAAGAAAAGUGUGAUGUUUAAUUAAUCAUACUAUUUGAAUAUGAGUUGCAAGUGGGCCAUUCCGGGUAAGCUGGACUGGCAAUGCGGGAUCAACCGAACGCUAUGUUACGGCGCCAGAUUGUUCGCUCAGUUGGAUGUAAAAGGUGUUAGUUCAUCUAGACAGCAGGACGGUGGCCAUGGAAGUCGGAAUCCGCUAAGGAGUGUGUAACAACUCACCUGCCGAAUGAAGUAGCCCUGAAAAUGGAUGGCGCUUAAGCGAACAGCCUAUACAUAGCCAUUAUUGUUAGGAUUAUACAAUAAUGAGUAGGAAUGCGUGAUGAAUGUUGUGAAGUAUGAUGUGUGAACAUGUAUGGAACAUUCAUUAGUGCAGAUCUUGGUGGAAGUAGCAAAUAUUCAAAUGAGAUCUUUGAAGACUGAAGUGGAGAAAGGUUCCAUAGGAAUAGUGAUUAUCUAUGGGUUAGUCGAUCCUAAGAGAUAGGUGAAAUCCAUUGAAAAGUCAAUUUCGAUUGACAUUUAUCGAAAGGGAAUCAGGUUAAUAUUCCUGAACCAAAGAGAAGGGUAAACGGUAACGUAUAGGGGUCUCAAGACAUUGAUGUUAUUCCCAGGAAGAGUUUUCUUUUCUUGUUAACAAAUGGGCAGUGCUUGGAAUCGAUUCAGUCGGCGAUAAGCAUUGUUAUUUGGUAAAGUACUACUAUUUUGUGUAGUAUCUGGUGCAAUGACAUGAAUCCUUGAAAAUUGAGACUUUUGUUUUCCCGAAGCUUUGGUCGUACUAAUAACCGCAUCAGGUCUCCAAGGUGAAUAGCCUCUAGUUAAUAGAAUAAUGUAGAUAAGGGAAGUCGGCAAAUUAGAUCCGUAACUUCGGGAUAAGGAUUGGCUCUGAGGGCUAAGUGGGUUUAAGGUGUUAAUAGUAUAAGUUUGAUAUGGGAUUGAGUGUUUUGAGUUGCUUCGGUGAUUUGAAAUAUUUGGUUCUAAUGUCUUAGUUGUCUAUUUUCAUCUACCACUAUGAAUAGCUAACUCAGAACUGGUACGGACAAGGGGAAUCCGACUGUUUAAUUAAAACAAAGCAUUGUGAUGGUGUGAAAGAUAUGUUGACACAAUGUGAAUUCUGCCCAGUGCUCUGAAUGUGAAAGUGGCGUAAUUCAAGCAAGCGCGGGUAAACGGCGGGAGUAACUAUGACUCUCUUAAGGUAGCCAAAUGCCUCGUCAUCUAAUUAGUGACGCGCAUGAAUGGAUUAAUGAGAUUCCCACUGUCCCUAUCUACUAUCUAGCGAAACCACAGCCAAGGGAACGGGCUUGGAAAUAUCAGCGGGGAAAGAAGACCCUGUUGAGCUUGACUCUAGUUUAACAUUGUGAAAUGACUUUAGAGGUGUAGCAUAGGUGGGAGGAGGUAACUCCGAUCCUGAAAUACCACUACUCUGAAUGUUGUUUUACUUAUUCCAUGAAAGAGGAUACUUACUUAAUUGUAAGUGUUAUGAUGUAAACUUUGGUGACCUCUUUGGGAGACAUUGUUAGGUGGGGAGUUCGGCUGGGGCGGCACAUCUGUUAAAGAAUAACACAGGUGUCCUAAGAUGAGCUCAAUAAGAACAGAAAUCUUAUGUAGAACAAAAGGGUAAAAGCUCAUUUGAUUUUGCUUUUCAGUAUGAAUACAAACUAUAAAAGUAUGGCCUAUCGAUCCUUUACAUAAAGGGAGAUCCUUGGUAGAGGUGUCAGAAAAGUUACCACAGGGAUAACUGGCUUGUGGCAGCCAAGCGUUCAUAGCGACGUUGCUUUUUGAUUCUUCGAUGUCGGCUCUUCCUAUCAUUGCGAAGCAGAAUUCGCCAAGUGUUGGAUUGUUCACCCAUUAAUAGGGAACGUGAGCUGGGUUUAGACCGUCGUGAGACAGGUUAGUUUUACCCUACUGAUGAAGUAAUUGUCGUAACAGUAAUCUAACUUAGUACGAGAGGAACCGUUAGUUCAGAUAAUUGGUAAAUCCAUUUAACUGAUAAGUUAGUGAUGGGAAGCUAUCAUCUGUGGGAUUAUGACUGAACGCCUCUAAGUCAGAAUCCUUGCUGAAAUGAAACGACGAUUCUCUUAAUAAGAGGAACAAUUUGU